This 254-nucleotide ribosomal RNA is filed under the name uncultured bacterium. RNAcentral describes it as "partial 16S ribosomal RNA". It matches the Rfam family "Bacterial small subunit ribosomal RNA", at positions 524 to 776 of the family's 1533-position model. The record is from RNAcentral.
UACGAAGGGGGCUAGCGUUGUUCGGAUUACUGGGCGUAAAGCGUGCGCAGGCGGUUGUGUAAGACAGAUGGUGAAAUCCCCGGGCUCAACCUGGGAACUGCAUUUGUGACUGCACAGCUGGAGUGCGGCAGAGGGGGAUGGAAUUCCGGCGUGUAGCAGUGAAAUGCGUAGAUAUGCGGAGGAACACCGAUGGCGAAGGCAAUCCCCUGGGCCUGCACUGACGCUCAUGCACGAAAGCGUGGGAGCGAAACAGG